AACGAACGCUGGCGGCAUGCCUAACACAUGCAAGUCGAACGUGAUCCAUGACUUCGGUUGUGGUGAAAGUGGCAGACGGGUGAGUAACGCGUGGGAACCUGCCCAAUGGUAGGGAAUAACCGCGGGAAACUGCGGCUAAUACCCUAUGACCCCUGCGGGGGAAAGAUUUAUCGCCAUUGGAGGGGCCCGCGUCGGAUUAGGUAGUUGGUAGGGUAACGGCCUACCAAGCCAUCGAUCCGUAGCUGGUCUGAGAGGAUGAUCAGCCACACUGGGACUG
This 277-nucleotide ribosomal RNA is filed under the name uncultured bacterium. Its description in RNAcentral is "partial 16S ribosomal RNA". It matches the Rfam family "Bacterial small subunit ribosomal RNA", at positions 29 to 321 of the family's 1533-position model. The record is from RNAcentral.